GGAAUCUUGUCCAAUGGGCGCAAGCCUGAGACAGCGACGCCGCGUGCGGGACGAAGGCCUUCGGGUUGUAAACCGCUUUCAGCAGGGACGAAGCGUAAGUGACGGUACCUGCAGAAGAUGGUCCGGCCAACUACGUGCCAGCAGCCGCGGUAAUACGUAGGGACCGAGCGUUGUCCGGAUUUAUUGGGCGUAAAGAGCUCGUAGGCGGCCGCGCAAGUCGAUUGUGAAAACUCGGGGCUCAACCCCGAGCCUGCGUUCGAUACUGCACGGCUAGAGUCUGGUAGGGGGAUCUGGAAUUCCUGGUGUAGCGGUGGAAUGCGCAGAUAUCAGGAGGAACACCGGUGGCGAAGGCGGGAUCCUGGGCCAGUACUGACGCUGAGGAGCGAAAGCGUGGGGAGCAAAC
This 403-nucleotide ribosomal RNA is filed under the name uncultured bacterium. RNAcentral's name for it is "bacterial SSU rRNA". It matches the Rfam family "Bacterial small subunit ribosomal RNA", at positions 358 to 773 of the family's 1533-position model. The record is from RNAcentral.